AGGUAGUUGGUGAGGUAACGGCCCACCAAGCCGACGAUCGGUAGCCGACCUGAGAGGGUGAUCGGCCACAUUGGGACUGAGACACGGCCCAAACUCCUACGGGAGGCAGCAGUGGGAAUAUUGGGCAAUGGAGGAAACUCUGACCCAGCAACGCCGCGUGGAGGAAGAAGGUUUUCGGAUCGUAAACUCCUGUCCUUGGAGACGAGUAGAAGACGGUAUCCAAGGAGGAAGCCCCGGCUAACUACGUGCCAGCAGCCGCGGUAAUACGUAGGGGGCAAGCGUUGUCCGGAAUAAUUGGGCGUAAAGGGCGCGUAGGCGGCUCGGUAAGUCUGGAGUGAAAGUCCUGCUUUUAAGGUGGGAAUUGCUUUGGAUACUGUCGGGCUUGAGUGCAGGAGAGGUUAGUGGAAUUCCCAGUGUAGCGGUGAAAUGCGUAGAGAUUGGGAGGAACACCAGUGGCGUAGGCGACUAACUGGACUGUAACUGACGCUGAGGCGCGAAAGUGUGGGGAGCAAACAGGAUUAGAUACCCUGGUAGUCCACACUGUAAACGAUGAAUGCUAGGUGUAGGGGGUAUCGACCCCUUCUGUGCCGCAGUCAACACAAUAAGCAUUCCGCCUGGGGAGUACGGCCGCAAGGUUGAAACUCAAAGGAAUUGACGGGGGCCCGCACAAGCAGCGGAGCAUGUGGUUUAAUUCGACGCAACGCGAAGAACCUUACCAGGUCUUGACAUCCACUUAAACUUACAGAGAUGUAAGGUGUGCUUGCACAAAGUGAGACAGGUGGUGCAUGGUUGUCGUCAGCUCGUGUCGUGAGAUGUUGGGUUAAGUCCCGCAACGAGCGCAACCCUUAUCUUCAGUUACUAACGCGUAAAGGUGAGGACUCUGAAGAGACUGCCGGGGACAACUCGGAGGAAGGUGGGGACGACGUCAAAUCAUCAUGCCCCUUAUGACCUGGGCUACACACGUGCUACAAUGGCCACGACAGAGAGAAGCGAAAUCGCAAGGUAGAGCGGAACUCAAAAAAGUGGUCCCAGUUCGGAUUGUGGGCUGCAACCCGCCCACAUGAAGUCGGAGUUGCUAGUAAUCGCGGAUCAGCAUGCCGCGGUGAAUACGUUCCCGGGCCUUGUACACACCGCCCGUCACACCAUGGGAGUUGGGAGUGCCCAAAGCCGGUGAGGCAACCGCAAGGAGCCAGCCGUCUAAGGCAAGACCAAUGACUGGGGUGAAGUCGUAACAAGGUAGCCGUAUCGGAAGGUGCGGCUG
This 1261-nucleotide ribosomal RNA is filed under the name metagenome. Its description in RNAcentral is "bacterial SSU rRNA". It matches the Rfam family "Bacterial small subunit ribosomal RNA", at positions 243 to 1520 of the family's 1533-position model. The record is from RNAcentral.